CAACAUCCAUAUGACCAUAUAUGAUGAUUUAGCCCCAAAUACCUUAACCCAAGGUCAUGACCUCCAUUGUUCUUCAUAAAGCUUGAUGAGUAAGGCUCUAUGGACCUCUAUGGAUCCAGAUCCAAAGCCUCAUCACCAGAAGGGACUAAUUUGACAUCAAAUCAACUUAGACAAGGGCACAAGAAACCCUAAAUCCAUAUAUUCUUCAUAAAACAGAAGAAGAGCCGAAGUAAUACCUAAAAUGCAAUGAUCAUAGCUUCAAAUACUUAGAAUAACAACCUCCUUUGCUUUCCCUUGGCUAGGAACUCCUUCUUCUUGCUAAACAACACCACAAAGGUCAAGAAUGGCUUCCUUUCUCUCUCAAAACGCUCAAGCACUCUAGGGUUUCUCUCUAUGGACUGGUAGCCUCAAAUGACGGCCAUAAGGGUCUUUAAAUAGGGCGCACACCCGAGAAGUUAGGGUUUCAUUAAGCAACGUGGACUCGCCGAGUCCACAUAUGGACUCGCCGAGUCCUUCAUUAAUCGGCCACUCACAUCGCGAUCCAACUCGGCGAGUCGGGGCUCCUACUCGCCGAGUCUCUCACUAAAUUCCAAUAUAAAUGAAAUAUAUAAUAUACCUGGGAAUCCGGAUGUUACAAUUCUCCCGCACUAGAAUCAGACUUCGCCCUCGAAGUCUCACUCCGCAAACAACUCUGGAUGCUACUCACGCAUCUCUCGCUCUAGUUCCUAAGUCACCUCGGACCCUCUCCGAUGUUGCCGCUGGACCUGCACCAGGGGCACUUCCUUGUUCCUCAGAACAUUGAUGUUUCGAUCCAUGAUCGCAACCGGUCUCUCAAUAUAGUUCAGGCUCGCAUCCACCUUAAAAUCUUCCAAGGCACCACCGCCGACUCGUCGGCUAUACACUCUCUCACUGAGACACAUGAAAGGAAUCGUGAAUCUGGCUUAACUCCACAGGUAGCUCGAAUCGAUAUGCUACCCUACCCAUCCUCGCGAUUACCCUAAAAGGACCAAUAUACCGGGGCCCUAGCUUGCCCCUCUUCCUGAAGCGGAUCACUCCUCUUCGAGGAGAUACCUUUAGAAGCACAAAAUCUCCGACCUGAAACUCGAGCUCGGAUUGUCGCCUAUCCGCAUAACUCUUCUGGUGACUCUGAGCGGUCAACAACCUCUUUCUGACCAGUUGUAUCUGCUCUGUCGACUGAAGCACUAUCUUUGUGCUACCCAUCACACGUUGCCCUACCCCUCCCCAGCAAAUGGGAGUCCGACACCUCCUCCCAUACAACAGCUCAAAGGGUGGCAUACCAAUGCUCGAAUAAUGGCUGUUGAUAUAGGAAAAACUCGGCCAAGGGUAAAUACGUGUCCCAACUCCCUCCGAAAUCUAAUACACAUGCCCGAAGCAUGUCCUCGAGCAUCUGAAUCGUCUGCUCGUGCUGCCCGUCUGUCGGUGGGUGGUAUGCGAUACUAAAAUGCAGCCUCGUACCCAACUCCUCAUGAAAUUUCUUCCAGAAUCUGAAAGAAACACACAUCUCAAUCUGAGACGAUCGAAAUCGACACUCCAUGCCGUGAUACCACCUCCCUCACUUACAACUCUGCCAACCUCUCAGCGGAAGAGCUCUCACUGACUUCCUCUUAGCAUCAACUGUCUCGGCCCUGUGACACACGAGUCACAAAAUUCUCAAAUGAAAAGUACAAUCCAACUGAAAAUUGACUUAGUCCUGACAGGGACGGAGACCCCAGUCUCACCCCUGGUUCAACCACCAAGCUCCAAAAACUCAAUACUAAGGCUACUCAAGCCUAAAACUCUUAUGCAACAUACACUGAUCGGAGAACACUCCAUCAUCAUACUCUCUAGCCGUCUAGUGAGUACUAUGGCCCCCUGCAACAUCACGACAGCCUUUGACUAGUGAGUACUAUGGCUCCCCGUAGCACCACAACACCAAUUGACUAGUGAGUACUACGGCUCCCCGUAGUACCACGACUCCCUCUCUCUGACUUGUGAGUACUACGGCUCCCCAUAGCAUCACAACACCCUCUGACUAGUGAAUACUACGGCUCCCCAUAGUACUACGACUCCCCGUAGUACUACGACUCCCUCUCUCUGACUUGUGAGUACUACGGCUCCCCGUAGCAUCACAACACCCUCUGACUAGUGAUUACUACGACUUCCCAUAGCUUCACCCCAUAGUCUCAUUCUCAUCCCAACGACACACUACGUCCACUAACUCAUGCUCCGUAGACUAUCAUAGAUAGCUACACACACUUGUCCCACAUAUGCGUCAUAGACUCUGGCGGCAACCGCUAUAACAAAAUACCUACCUCUGCGAAGAUCCACUUUCUUAAAUAAUCCCUUCUGAUGCCAAAACCCGAAGGGCUCCCACUGGAACCGAAAAUACAUGAUACACCACUAGUCGUCCCAACUCAAGAUUCUAAAUAACUCCGAAAUCGGGACAUUAUACCCGGUCACCACGGAACACCAUUACAGAACAUCGCGAUGUCCUGCCUCAAUCACUGAUCUCCUACUCCCAGCACUAUACAGAUACAACAGUACAUUUCCUCUGAACUCCAUAAAUAAUUCCUCAUUUUACCCAAUGCGCAACUUCAGUGUAUUCAAACACUCAAUUGGAAUACAAAGAAGGCGUUAACGCUUCAGAACAUGCUGAUGAUCCUCUGAAACCCUUUCCCAUACCGCUCAAAAUCCAAGCAAGAAUAUACAUACCAGCCCGGGAGUUGGUUGCUCGAUAAUCUUCUAUCCACCCCAAAAAGGGCAUAUACAGUCCAUACUUCGACCCAGAAGUUCUCAACUGCCCAUACCAUCAUAACGAGUCUUCCACUUGAAACAGCCCUGACCACCACCAGAUUCUUGACCAUUGGCCACCUGCCGAGGAGACACCCAUCUUUUCUCAGACACAUACCACAUGCAUUAUCUCGCUCUGCACCUUUCCUUGAUCACCAAUGACCCUGGCCUCAUGAAUUCGAGCAGCAGCUUCCUGUAUCCAACCCCUAGCCGCUCUUGCAAAUCUCUGGUUCCCUCAAUAAAAUACCAAGUUCUCCCCCACUUAGGGUUCAAACCAUCACCAAUUGACGCAUCAACUCUCUACCCCACAGACGGUUUCCUCCAGAAACAUCGAACAUACACUUGGAAGGUGCCACACAACGCCCAAUGAUCUCCCCACGUAGAGAUCAAGAAACCUCAAAUACCCUAAAUCUCCGAAGAAAUCCUCAGGAACUUCUCAUCACGACUGCCUCUAGCCAUUCGAAGUCUCAUACCAUCCCAAUACUGAAUAUCCCAAUUGUUCAGUACUAUCACUGACUCUUAGACUGAAACAAUAAAUCAUAAUACUCCUCAUCCUAGACUUCUCAACCCCCGUUCCAACACGUGAAUCAUCACGAGAAUAGGGACUCCACUACCAUACUCAAUGCCCAUCAUAGACAGAAGAGCCACCGCUCUGAUAUACUCGACUGGAUUACCCGUUGAUACCGCCACCACACGCCCUACUAUACUCAAUUAGGGUGUAAUGUGGUCCUUGAUCGUCUCAAUCCCCACUGACUACCUGCUCAUGGUAGAUCAUUUCCACGCGGCAGACAUGCUGCCUGAUACUCUAGUGGAAAAAUCGUCAUCAAUGACCACCCGUAGGGUUUACUCCUAAACCCAAAACCGAAAUCUCACACCUCUCCUACUUCCCAUAGGAAACAUAAAUAGCACCCAACAAGUCACAGAAGGUGACAUCUCCUCUAUCGGCUGAUUGGUCACUCAGAUUGCAAUCCCCCAUAAAUGCCUUCUCUACUAAUCUUGGAGUCAUGCGACAACCUCUGACGUCUUACCAAGGUAAUCUGAAAUGCUCUCGACCUCCCUCUCAAGGGAUUCCUUUUCGAACUCAAUCAUGGCCCUCAAGCCUAAAACCCCAUCGCGUCCAAACUCCACCAAUCAAUCCUGAUCGAAAAACCAGAGAAUCACAAGCAUCAAUUGCUAAGAAGCAUGGUACUCAGCCCCUGACAUCCCUUCUCAGUCUGCUACAAUGCGUGGCACUCGAACUCUAACAUCACCCCUCAAUCUGCUAAGAUGCAUGGUACUGAACCAUGGCAUCACUUCCCAAUUUGCUUUGAUGUAUGGUACUUGAACCAUAACAUCACUCCUCAAUAUGCUCCGAUGUAUGGCACUCGAACCAUAACAUCACUCCCUAAUCUGCUACGAUGUAUGGUACCUGGACCAUGACAUCACUCCUCAAUCUGCAACGAUGUAUGGUACUCGAACCAUGACAUCACUUCUCAAUCUGCUACGAUGUAUGGUACUCGAACCAUGACAUCACUUCUCAAUAUGCUACUUAGAACCUUCAGAAUACUCCCUGUAUCGAGUAUGGGUCCUCUGCUUUCGGUAGUACAGGCCCAUACGACCUGCCACAUCUACCCAUACUUUCCACACAGACCAUUCCAAAGCUCCUAAAUAGUUUCUCAACCUUCUCGUUCGCUAAUUCUGCCACGCGUGCUCGCUCCUCAGCGAAAUGCUCUACUCCGCUAGCGUACUCAUCUGGCUAAGGUCACUCCCGCUUCUCCGCCAUCAGCUGCUGAAGAGCUCCUAAUGAUGCCAGUCAUCUACCUCUUAAAUAUCGUCAUAUUCACUUGGUAGCUGACUCCCAUCGUUGAGAGUUCCACAAAGCACGAAGCAAGCAGCAUUCGGGUAUCGAAGAAUACAUAGAGCUCACUCUGGAUGAUAACUCCGCUUGCUCUGCUCAUUCUCAAGGUACCACCAAACUCUGCAACUCUGCUCCUCGCGGGUUCUAACUAUUCUUCGAUAAACACCACAAUACUCAUCUAGGCGUCUCUCCUAGAUUACUCCUCUACUCAAAUCCCCUAAAAGGAUUCCAACUGAAUACUCUCACUCAUACUCAAAAGCACAUCACAUAUAACAGCAACUCCUAGGCUAAGGCAUCACAAAUCAGGCCACUCUAGUCCUAAGAUAUGAAAUACCUAGCCUGUCUCUAGCAUGCAUAAUAUCUCAUAAAAUGNNNNNNNNNNNNNNNNNNNNNNNNNNNNNNNNNNNNNNNNNNNNNNNNNNNNNNNNNNNNNNNNNNNNNNNNNNNNNNNNNNNNNNNNNNNNNNNNNNNNNNNNNNNNNNNNNNNNNNNNNNNNNNNNNNNNNNNNNNNNNNNNNNNNNNNNNNNNNNNNNNNNNNNNNNNNNNNNNNNNNNNNNNNNUGUAACACCGAAAUUUUCAAAACAAAAUUUUCAAUUAAAAUAGUUUAUCUCUUUAACACUUUUCAUAAAAAUCUCCUUUUUAUUUUAAUUACAAUGCAUAACUCUUUUGUUCAAUCAAUUAAUAAACCAGGAUCCUCAAAACAAACGCUUUCUCUGGUGUGUACAAUCGAGCCGGUGCCGUCCCGUGAUCCUGAGAAAACCUGAAACAUAUAACACAAAACACUAUAAGCACGAAGCUUAGUGAGUUCCCCAAAAUACCACUAUAUCACAUAUUAGCCAUUCAAGGCUAUAACUCUGUUGACCCUCUGGUCAGUGUGUCUCAGUGGGACCCUCCAGUCCCAACUCUCUGUGGACCUUCCGGCCCUAACUCUAUGGACCCAAAGGUCCUAACUCUGAUAACUCUGAAUCAUGCAUAUCACAUAUCACAAUAAAUCUCAUAAAAUAAAUAGCAUACAAAUACACUGGCACAUAACUCUAAACCUAACUCUGUGGACCCUCUGGUCCUAGCUCUAUGGACCUUCCGGUCCUAACUCUGAUAUACACACAACAUAAAUCAAAUAGAAAUAAUGCAGUGCCUCACAUUGCAUAGAUAGCAUACAAUAACUCUGUCACAUAACUCUGUUACCACUCAAGGUAAAGUAUUGUGAGAAGACUCACCUCGGGUAUCUCGGAUGAUCUCGCACACGAAUCUACUGAUCUAGCCCCCGCCUAAUCACAUACAAAAUAUCCUCAAUAAGUAAUGGCUCCCAAAAGCUAGAUUAAACCCCCUUCUAUGAUCCAUCAGAAGGGUAAAAGACCAUUUUACCCCUCCUUGACUCAAAAGUCGAACUGUUGACUGAAACCCUAAAAGUCAAUGAAAUUCAAUGGUCACAGUUGACCCUACUCGCCGAGUGAACUAAGGUGACUCGGCGAGUACACUCCUGUCCUCUUCGCCCCUGGUCCUCUCUUAGCUCACUGAGUCAACCCUAUACUCCACGGGUUGUCACAGAUCGCGAGUCGCGGGGCAACCCGACUCAACUCGUCGAGUCGUCUCAUGGGCUCGGCGAGUACAUGCCAUGCUCACACUCAAACGACCUUCUGAGGUUAGAUCUAUUCCUCUAAUCCAUGGAUCUGGCCAUUCCAACCACUAUAAUCACAUAAAGUCUCAAUCUUGAUGCAUGUGCAACAUCCAUAUGACCAUAUAUGAUGAUUUAGCCCCAAAUACCUUAACCCAAGGUCAUGAACUCCAUUUUUCUUCAUAAAGCUUGAUGAUUAAGGCUCUCUGGACCUCUAUGGAUCCAGAUCCAAAGCCUCAUCACCAGAAGGGACUAAUUGGACAUCAAAUCAACUUAGACAAGGGCACAAGAAACCCUAAAUCCAUAUAUUCUUCAUAAAACAGAAGAAGAGCCGAAGUAAUACCUCAAAUGCAAUGAUCUUAGCUUCAAAUCCUC
This 6617-nucleotide long non-coding RNA is filed under the name Lactuca sativa (garden lettuce). RNAcentral's name for it is "long non-coding RNA (LSAT_LNC008971)". Lineage: Eukaryota; Viridiplantae; Streptophyta; Magnoliopsida; Asterales; Asteraceae. The record is from RNAcentral.